UACGGGGGGGGCAAGCGUUGUUCGGAAUUACUGGGCGUAAAGGGCUCGUAGGCGGCCAACUAAGUCAUACGUGAAAUCCCUCGGCUUAACCGGGGAACUGCGUCUGAUACUGGAUGGCUUGAGUUCGGGAGAGGGAUGCGGAAUUCCAGGUGUAGCGGUGAAAUGCGUAGAUAUCUGGAGGAACACCGGUGGCGAAGGCGGCCUUCUGGACAGUGACUGACGCUGAGACGCGAAAGCGUGGGGAGCAAACAGG
This 253-nucleotide ribosomal RNA is filed under the name uncultured bacterium. RNAcentral's name for it is "partial 16S ribosomal RNA". It matches the Rfam family "Bacterial small subunit ribosomal RNA", at positions 524 to 776 of the family's 1533-position model. The record is from RNAcentral.